RNAcentral lists this ribosomal RNA (253 nucleotides) under uncultured bacterium. RNAcentral describes it as "partial 16S ribosomal RNA". It matches the Rfam family "Bacterial small subunit ribosomal RNA", at positions 524 to 776 of the family's 1533-position model. The record is from RNAcentral.
UACGAAGGGGGCUAGCGUUGCUCGGAAUCACUGGGCGUAAAGCGCACGUAGGCGGACUCUUAAGUCGGUGGUGAAAUCCUGGAGCUCAACUCCAGAACUGCCUUCGAUACUGAGAGUCUCGAGUCCGAGAGAGGUGAGUGGAACUGCGAGUGUAGAGGUGAAAUUCGUAGAUAUUCGCAAGAACACCAGUGGCGAAGGCGGCUCACUGGCUCGGUACUGACGCUGAGGUGCGAAAGCAUGGGGAGCGAACAGG